This 257-nucleotide ribosomal RNA is filed under the name uncultured bacterium. Its description in RNAcentral is "partial 16S ribosomal RNA". It matches the Rfam family "Bacterial small subunit ribosomal RNA", at positions 28 to 285 of the family's 1533-position model. The record is from RNAcentral.
GACGAACGCUGGCGGCGUGCUUAACACAUGCAAGUCGAGCGGUAAGGCCCUUUCGGGGGUACACGAGCGGCGAACGGGUGAGUAACACGUGGGUGACCUGCCCUCCAGCUCUGGGAUAAGCCUGGGAAACUGGGUCUAAUACCGGAUAUGACUCCAUGACGCAUGUUGUGGGGUGGAAAGCCUUGUGCGGCUGAGGAUGGGCCCGCGGCCUAUCAGCUUGUUGGUGGGGUGANGGCCUACCAAGGCGACGACGGGUA